Numida meleagris (helmeted guineafowl) is the source of this 699-nucleotide long non-coding RNA. RefSeq lists it as uncharacterized. The transcript is spliced from 2 exons. The record is from RefSeq and is a predicted model, not a curated record. Lineage: Eukaryota; Metazoa; Chordata; Aves; Galliformes; Numididae.
CCGAGGAAACACCUUGCUCUUCUCAUCUAUUCUAGUGUAGUGGAAACAACCUGGCAAGACCCCACACAAUGGUGAAUCCUCAGGCCAGAUGGAGAAAGAAGAAAUUUUCAGCCUGUAGCAGCAGUUGGAACAGGAAUGUGCAGCCUGAAGGGACAAGAGCUGCCAUCCGUCUGAGCAUCUCACCAUGGCAUCUCAUAAUGAGAAUCUUGGGCAGUGUUAAUAAUAUCAGCUCUGCUUGGGCAACCUGUCAGAGAGAUUGGAUGUCAGCUGCAGAGUAAAACACAGCUCCAGCCUAAUUGUGGUCCUCCAGGAGGAGCCUCAUGAAUAUGGAUAAAAAGCUGAAAAGUAUCCUGUGACACCUCGAUGAUUCUUCAAAAUGCAGAUAAUGGUAUGGACGUGGUGAAGAGUGAUAAAAUGUGUGAUUUCUUUGAAGAGGGAAGAAACUUGUGAAUGCCUGAGCUGAGUUAGGCAUAUGAAAUGGUGUGAGAGAGUUUUCUACUGAAUAGUAAUAUUCUUUUCCUAAUCUCAUUUACAGUGUCUCUAUGAUGUUUCCAAGAUAUUUUUCUGAAUUUCCUGUGCCAGACUCACAGACUUACUGAUUAAAUAUUGGACUUUACAUGGGAGCACUUUAAAAAGUGUCUGUGUAAACCAAAAAUAAAAUGCUUCUGUGAAGAAAAAAGUUUACCAUUUAUCAGUUUA